This 394-nucleotide ribosomal RNA is filed under the name uncultured bacterium. RNAcentral's name for it is "bacterial SSU rRNA". It matches the Rfam family "Bacterial small subunit ribosomal RNA", at positions 1110 to 1503 of the family's 1533-position model. The record is from RNAcentral.
CUUAGUUACCAGCACGUUAUGGUGGGCACUCUAAGGAGACUGCCGGUGACAAACCGGAGGAAGGUGGGGAUGACGUCAAGUCAUCAUGGCCCUUACGGCCAGGGCUACACACGUGCUACAAUGGUCGGUACAAAGGGUUGCCAAGCCGCGAGGUGGAGCUAAUCCCAUAAAACCGAUCGUAGUCCGGAUCGCAGUCUGCAACUCGACUGCGUGAAGUCGGAAUCGCUAGUAAUCGUGAAUCAGAAUGUCACGGUGAAUACGUUCCCGGGCCUUGUACACACCGCCCGUCACACCAUGGGAGUGGGUUGCUCCAGAAGUAGCUAGUCUAACCGCAAGGGGGACGGUUACCACGGAGUGAUUCAUGACUGGGGUGAAGUCGUAACAAGGUAGCCGU